Molecule: transfer RNA, 74 nt
Filed under: Candidatus Amesbacteria bacterium RBG_16_48_31
Lineage: Bacteria; Candidatus Amesiibacteriota
Description: tRNA-Gly
Rfam family: tRNA
About the family: Transfer RNA (tRNA) molecules are approximately 80 nucleotides in length. Their secondary structure includes four short double-helical elements and three loops (D, anti-codon, and T loops).
Source: RNAcentral
GCGGGAUUAGUACAGUGGUAGUAUGCAUCCUUCCCAAGGAUGAGACACCAGUCCGAUUCUGGUAUCCCGCUCAA